CGGAGUUUGGCGCAGUCUGGUAGCGCACCUGGUUUGGGACCAGGGGGUCGCAGGUUCAAAUCCUGCAACUCCGACCA
RNAcentral lists this transfer RNA (77 nucleotides) under Alphaproteobacteria bacterium. Its description in RNAcentral is "tRNA-Pro". It matches the Rfam family "tRNA". From Rfam's summary of the family: Transfer RNA (tRNA) molecules are approximately 80 nucleotides in length. Their secondary structure includes four short double-helical elements and three loops (D, anti-codon, and T loops). Further hydrogen bonds mediate the characteristic L-shaped molecular structure. tRNAs have two regions of fundamental functional importance: the anti-codon, which is responsible for specific mRNA codon recognition, and the 3' end, to which the tRNAs corresponding amino acid is attached (by aminoacyl-tRNA synthetases). tRNAs cope with the degeneracy of the genetic code in two manners: having more than one tRNA (with a specific anti-codon) for a particular amino acid; and 'wobble' base-pairing, i.e. permitting non-standard base-pairing at the 3rd anti-codon position. Lineage: Bacteria; Pseudomonadati; Pseudomonadota; Alphaproteobacteria. The record is from RNAcentral.